GGGCCCUUAGCUCAGUCGGUAGAGCAACUGACUUUUAAUCAGUAGGUCGAAGGUUCGAAUCCUUCAGGGCUCACCA
RNAcentral lists this transfer RNA (76 nucleotides) under Pacificimonas flava. RNAcentral describes it as "tRNA-Lys". It matches the Rfam family "tRNA". Rfam says of the family: Transfer RNA (tRNA) molecules are approximately 80 nucleotides in length. Their secondary structure includes four short double-helical elements and three loops (D, anti-codon, and T loops). Further hydrogen bonds mediate the characteristic L-shaped molecular structure. tRNAs have two regions of fundamental functional importance: the anti-codon, which is responsible for specific mRNA codon recognition, and the 3' end, to which the tRNAs corresponding amino acid is attached (by aminoacyl-tRNA synthetases). tRNAs cope with the degeneracy of the genetic code in two manners: having more than one tRNA (with a specific anti-codon) for a particular amino acid; and 'wobble' base-pairing, i.e. permitting non-standard base-pairing at the 3rd anti-codon position. The record is from RNAcentral. RNAcentral also lists the same sequence under 3 other names. Lineage: Bacteria; Pseudomonadati; Pseudomonadota; Alphaproteobacteria; Sphingomonadales; Sphingosinicellaceae.